CUAAGAAUAUUCCGCAAUGGAGGAAACUCUGACGGAGCGACGCCGCGUGGAUGAUGAAGGUCGGAAGAUUGUAAAAUCCUUUUAUGACUGAGGAAUAAGUACGUUGAGAGAAACGGCGUAUGGUGACUGUAGGUCAUGAAUAAGCAGCGGCUAAUUACGUGCCAGCAGCCGCGGUAACACGUAAGUUGCGAGCGUUGUUCGGAAUUAUUGGGCGUAAAGGGCAUGUAGGCGGUUUUGCAAGCUUGAUGUGAAAUGCCGAGGCUUAACUCCGGCACUGCGUUGAGAACUGCAUGACUAGAGUAACUGAGGGGCAGCCGGAAUUCCAGGUGUAGGGGUGAAAUCUGUAGAUAUCUGGAAGAACACCAAUGGCGAAGGCAGGCUACCAGCAGAUUACUGACGCUGAGGUGCGAAGGUG
This 415-nucleotide ribosomal RNA is filed under the name uncultured Treponema sp. RNAcentral's name for it is "bacterial SSU rRNA". It matches the Rfam family "Bacterial small subunit ribosomal RNA", at positions 355 to 761 of the family's 1533-position model. The record is from RNAcentral. Lineage: Bacteria; Pseudomonadati; Spirochaetota; Spirochaetia; Treponematales; Treponemataceae.